Long non-coding RNA from Helianthus annuus (common sunflower), 683 nucleotides. RefSeq lists it as uncharacterized. The record is from RefSeq and is a predicted model, not a curated record. The transcript is spliced from 4 exons. NCBI's taxonomy places the organism in Eukaryota, Viridiplantae, Streptophyta, Magnoliopsida, Asterales, Asteraceae.
GCUUCUUUGUUUGCUAAAGCAACCAAUCUAAAUCACAACCCCUUCACCCAAUAAUAUAUCUGAAAAGUUGAAUCGUUGGGGGAAUUUUGAGUUUGUUCAUCCAAGCGUUUUUCAAACGCGAGACAUGUUAUGUGCAGAAACAUUUCUGAAGCAUUCGAUGCAGGCUAGGAUGAUUUGUUAAACUCAACCAAGGUGUUGCACCUCUAGACUAAUAAGAAGCCAUGGUUGAGUGAGCAUCCACGUGAUCAAAAGGAUCGAUUUCGAUGGUGAUAUGAACUCGAAGACGCUGGAGCAGGAACCACUCUUUCUUUGACUAUGGAUGCUUUUGAGGAAAUUGCAUAUUCAAACUCAAAAAGGGAUGGUCUGUAUGAAUUUGAUUUGAAACCUUCUUUAAAGGCGCUUUCUUUAAUCUCUAUGUUUUUGGUUCUGUCAGUAUCGCUUUCAAAUUAGCUUAUUGGAAUAAAAAGCCAAGGCCUGCAGAAGCUGGACCUGGAUAGGGGACUGGUCGUUAGGGGAUGGAAACAGGAGCUUGCUGGCUGGAGGACAGGAGUGGUCAUGGUCACAUUGAUGGGCUCAUUUGUUAAACACUUAUUUAUCAUGUUGAUUAGUAUUACUUUAUGAUACAAUAAUGCUUCCGCUGAACUUAUGGUUUUGGAUAACUUAUGAUUGGGAUUUCAGUAUAA